AAGCAGUGACAGUGCAGGAAUGACACCCAACCUGGUGCAUACUGUGCAGGGAGCCUCUCAUACAAUGAUGAAUUGUUUAAAAAAAGACCCAUGUUCAGGCUACAGGGUCGAAGCUUCUGGGAUCAUCCACCAGGGCCAUUUCCCACACACAAACCAUUAUCUGUACCUGCGGACAGAACAACAAAGAACACAAGGUCUCAGAUUAAACCCGGAGAAGAACCACAGAGUUAAAUCACGUUUAAAAGAUGAGCAAGUGGUGAAACUGAGGGAAAGCGAGGAGACAACGACAGAUAUCGUCUGUAGCUUCUCGUCCUGAGGCAGGAGAGCUGCGACACGGCUUCAUUCCUCUCCACUGUCCGACCGAGACUCACACACUCCCGACAGGAGACCGGAGGAGGAGCAGAGGAAGUAGAGAGGAGUUAAAAGGCUCCGCAGCGGAGAAGCAUUAAAGGAGCAGUGGACGGAGGUGCUCUCUGUGCUAUGGAAGCCUGAACUGACGUAAUGCUCUCCGCACAUUCCUGUACGGCGAGCGGGAGGGAUCAGAGCAGCACCUGGAAACAGGAGAGGAGCGAAGUCUGCGCCCAAAGCGACAGGGAAUAACAGCAGCGCCAUCUAGUGUCGAGGCGACCACUCUGCUGCCGCUGCUGCCGCUUCUCCUUCUUGUUGUCGUUUUCUCUCCCUUCUCUCCUUCUCAUUGUCCUUCUUCAUCGUCAUCUGCUGUACAUUUUUACAUCUUCUUUUUCUCCUUCUUAAUUUCUCCCGUUUCUUCUUCUCCUUUUCAGGCAAAUGAAUUGGCUUUUUGAGGGCUUUAACAUGCUCAAAUCUUACCAAAAUUUGCAGAAAAUUAGAAAGUAGUGAAAAACAAAUCUGUCUCAUGAUCAGAGUCCAAGCCUGAACAGCUCUAUGUGUCAAUAUUUCCUCAGUCAUCAUUAUUUCUUUCUUUCAGGCAAAAGGCAAAACGCAUGCAACGCUUGAAAAUGCAUGUGCUCGGCCCGCUAAGUGCUGCUUUGCAGACCAAAGUAUAAGAUACUUACUGGGAAAUUACAAUUCAUUUGAAUAUUGUAUUAAAGAAUUGCCUCAACACAAUGACAAAGGCAAAUUUCAUAAUUUGGAAUGAAAAUAUUUGGAACAACCUAGUCUUCCUCAACGUUUGUCUAGUUAAUUUUCUAUUGAGACCUCUCUAAUGGACUGUGUGAACAUUUGUGUUCACCCUUCAUGUAUUAAAUAAAA
Limanda limanda (common dab) is the source of this 1230-nucleotide long non-coding RNA. RefSeq lists it as uncharacterized. NCBI's taxonomy places the organism in Eukaryota, Metazoa, Chordata, Actinopteri, Pleuronectiformes, Pleuronectidae. The transcript is spliced from 3 exons. The record is from RefSeq and is a predicted model, not a curated record.